Molecule: ribosomal RNA, 492 nt
Filed under: uncultured bacterium
Lineage: Bacteria
Description: bacterial SSU rRNA
Rfam family: Bacterial small subunit ribosomal RNA
Source: RNAcentral
ACUGGCGGCAGCCUAACCAUGCAAGUCGAGCGGAUGAAGGGAGCUUGCUCCCUGAUUCAGCGGCGGACGGGUGAGUAAUGCCUAGGAAUCUGCCUGGUAGUGGGGGACAACGUCUCGAAAGGGACGCUAAUACCGCAUACGUCCUACGGGAGAAAGCAGGGGACCUUCGGGCCUUGCGCUAUCAGAUGAGCCUAGGUCGGAUUAGCUAGUUGGUGAGGUAAUGGCUCACCAAGGCGACGAUCCGUAACUGGUCUGAGAGGAUGAUCAGUCACACUGGAACUGAGACACGGUCCAGACUCCUACGGGAGGCAGCAGUGGGGAAUAUUGGACAAUGGGCGAAAGCCUGAUCCAGCCAUGCCGCGUGUGUGAAGAAGGUCUUCGGAUUGUAAAGCACUCUAAGUUGGGAGGAAGGGCAGCUAACUAAUACUUCGCUGUUUUGACGUUACCGACAGAAUAAGCACCGGCUAACUCUGUGCCAGCAGCCGCGGUAAU